UCAAUAAGCGGAGGAAAAGAAACUAACAAGGAUUCCCCUAGUAACUGCGAGUGAAGCGGGAAAAGCUCAAAUUUAAAAUCUGGCGGUCUUUGGCCGUCCGAGUUGUAAUUUAGAGAAGCGUCUUCCGCGCCGGACCGUGCACAAGUCUCCUGGAAUGGAGCGUCAUAGAGGGUGAGAAUCCCGUCUUUGGCACGGAUGCCCGGUGCUUCUGUGAUGCGCUCUCGAAGAGUCGAGUUGUUUGGGAAUGCAGCUCAAAAUGGGUGGUGAACUCCAUCUAAAGCUAAAUAUUGGCGAGAGACCGAUAGCGAACAAGUACCGUGAGGGAAAGAUGAAAAGCACUUUGGAAAGAGAGUGAAACAGUACGUGAAAUUGUUGAAAGGGAAACGCUUGAAGUCAGUCGCGUCGACCGAGACUCAGCCUUGCCUUGGCUUGGUGUACUUCUCGGGCCCGACGGGUCAGCAUCAAUUUUGCCCCUCGGAUAAUGGCAAGGGAAAGGUGGCACCUUCACGGGUGUGUUAUAGUCUCCUGUCGCAUGCGAGGGGUGGGAUUGAGGAACUCAGCACGCACAUUGGUGUCGGGGCAUCUUGCCCACGUCACGUGCUUAGGAUGCUGGCGUAAUGGCUUUAAACGACCCGUCUUGAAAC
RNAcentral lists this ribosomal RNA (644 nucleotides) under Lactarius lilacinus. RNAcentral describes it as "LSU rRNA". It matches the Rfam family "Eukaryotic large subunit ribosomal RNA", at positions 43 to 660 of the family's 3401-position model. The record is from RNAcentral. Lineage: Eukaryota; Fungi; Basidiomycota; Agaricomycetes; Russulales; Russulaceae.